GCCCCCUCCGUCCCCAUCCGUGAGUUCCACGACAGGGGACUUCGACCAUGCCUGCGUGCAUCCUAGGUUCCUCCACAUCAGCCCGACCUCCCACAAGUGGGCGUUCGUAGGUUUCACGCCCUUGCCAAUCCAUUCUCUGAUUUGGUUUGGUUUGGUGGAGAUGUAAUAGUUUGAUAGUUCUCAGUUUGUAGAACAAAGGGUACCAGCUAUAUCUGAACUUCUUGAUAAUGCAGUAGAUGAGG
Molecule: long non-coding RNA, 242 nt
Organism: Triticum dicoccoides
Lineage: Eukaryota; Viridiplantae; Streptophyta; Magnoliopsida; Poales; Poaceae
Exons: 3
Source: RefSeq, a predicted model, not a curated record